GACGAACGCUGGCGGCGUGCUUAACACAUGCAAGUCGAGCGGAAAGGCCACUUCGGUGGUACUCGAGCGGCGAACGGGUGAGUAACACGUGAGUGAUCUGCCCUUCACUCUGGGAUAGCCACCGGAAACGGUGAUUAAUACCGGAUACGACCACUCCACGCAUGUGGUGGUGGUGGAAACUUUUUUGGGUGGGGGAUGUGCUCGCGGCCUAUCAGCUUGUUGGUGGGGUAAUGGCCUACCAAGGCUUCGACGGGUAGCCGGCCUGAGAGGGUGACCGGCCACACUGGGACUGAGACACGGCCCAGACUCCUACGGGAGGCAGCAGUGGGGAAUAUUGGACAAUGGGCGGAGGCCUGAUCCAGCAACGCCGCGUGAGGGAUGACGGCCUUCGGGUUGUAAACCUCUUUCAGCACCGACGAAGCGCAAGUGACGGUAGGUGCAGAAGAAGGACCUGCCAACUACGUGCCAGCCGCCGCUGUAA
This 481-nucleotide ribosomal RNA is filed under the name uncultured bacterium. Its description in RNAcentral is "partial 16S ribosomal RNA". It matches the Rfam family "Bacterial small subunit ribosomal RNA", at positions 28 to 523 of the family's 1533-position model. The record is from RNAcentral.